AUUGAACGCAGGCGGCAGGCCUAACACAUGCAAGUCGAACGGUAACAGGAAACAGCUUGCUGUUUCGCUGACGAGUGGCGGACGGGUGAGUAAUGUCUGGGAAACUGCCUGAUGGAGGGGGAUAACUACUGGAAACGGUAGCUAAUACCGCAUAACGUCGCAAGACCAAAGAGGGGGACCUUCGGGCCUCUUGCCAUCGGAUGUGCCCAGAUGGGAUUAGCUAGUAGGUGGGGUAACGGCUCACCUAGGCGACGAUCCCUAGCUGGUCUGAGAGGAUGACCAGCCACACUGGAACUGAGACACGGUCCAGACUCCUACGGGAGGCAGCAGUGGGGAAUAUUGCACAAUGGGCGCAAGCCUGAUGCAGCCAUGCCGCGUGUAUGAAGAAGGCCUUCGGGUUGUAAAGUACUUUCAGCGGGGAGGAAGGGAGUAAAGUUAAUACCUUUGCUCAUUGACGUUACCCGCAGAAGAAGCACCGGCUAACUCCGUGCCAGCCGCCGCCGCAG
RNAcentral lists this ribosomal RNA (506 nucleotides) under uncultured bacterium. Its description in RNAcentral is "partial 16S ribosomal RNA". It matches the Rfam family "Bacterial small subunit ribosomal RNA", at positions 30 to 523 of the family's 1533-position model. The record is from RNAcentral.